GCCGUCGCCGUCGUCGCUUCAAGGAGAACGAAGCACCCCACCUUCGACGCUUGAGAUUCGCCAUCAAAGCCUUCUCAGAAAUCCUCAAGCUCCUCUCGCUAGCUCGGCCAUGUUCGGUGCUCGCGACGCCUUCGCCGCGUGAUCUUCAGCUGCUACGGCGGUUUCCCCCGCCGGCUCCAGAGAGACGAUGGUGAGCAAGUUCCUCUGCGACUUCCGGUGGUUCCUCCUCCUCGCCGCGGCGGUGGCGUUGAUCCACAUCCAGAUGUGUCUUUUCACGACACAAUUGGAACAUGCUGAUCAACUUGCUGCUGCUGGAAGUCUCCAUCCUAUUACCUCAUCCUGGAUGGUGUACCAAGGACAGCAUAUGAAGGAGCAGUAAUCUCUCGGUAUUCACCACCACGGCAUGUGUUUCUAGUGGGUCCGGAUUCUUUCGGGCUGCUUGGGAUCAAACGUGUUUGAUGCAUUGAGGUGAGGUU
Molecule: long non-coding RNA, 476 nt
Organism: Eucalyptus grandis
Lineage: Eukaryota; Viridiplantae; Streptophyta; Magnoliopsida; Myrtales; Myrtaceae
Exons: 3
Source: RefSeq, a predicted model, not a curated record